CCCAGUCAUAGUACAGGACGACAGCAUUAACAUGUUAAUCCAAGGUUUGGUAUACAACUUGUGAAGCUUUGAAUCAUACCUUUCAAUUUCACAGAACUGCCUAACGAGGAAGUCCUGCAACCUUAUUCAAGGAAGCAAAUAGUCAACGAAUGAGUCACGCUUCAAAAAUAGCUUACAACUUCGGGGAUCAUGUUUAUCUCGAAGACUUAACAGGUGGACCCAAAAUAGAAGCUUGAUGUGAAUAAAGGAGAGGAAGCACUGAAAUAUUGUACAUACAAUAAAGACGUUAUCCAU
Molecule: long non-coding RNA, 294 nt
Organism: Haliotis rubra (blacklip abalone)
Lineage: Eukaryota; Metazoa; Mollusca; Gastropoda; Lepetellida; Haliotidae
Exons: 3
Source: RefSeq, a predicted model, not a curated record